Prunus persica (peach) is the source of this 542-nucleotide long non-coding RNA. RefSeq lists it as uncharacterized. The record is from RefSeq and is a predicted model, not a curated record. The transcript is spliced from 3 exons. NCBI's taxonomy places the organism in Eukaryota, Viridiplantae, Streptophyta, Magnoliopsida, Rosales, Rosaceae.
AAGUUCAAGAGGACCUUGUCGUUCAUUUUAUAGUACAAAAUGAUGGGUUUCCCUCGUUAGUAGAGGAGAGAAAAAGAAGGAGAAUAAAUAUUAAAAUAAAAUAAAAAAAAGGACUGGAAAAUUUGAAGAAAACGAAUAGGAGACAAAAUGAGAAAAAGUCUCCCUCAUGCCAGGCCACCAAUUAGUUAGGAAUGUUGGCUAUAAAAGCAGUUGCCUUUCUUUCAACUCACGACCUCCGUCGUCGACCUCCACCGCGAAGCCACUAUCGUGACCUCCGUUGUUGUUCUCCACAGUGUAGGGGCAUUCAUGGCCCCGCUCCAGCCUUCUUUCCUUUGCUCUCCAACUUUGGACCUAGAUUUUUGACUUAUGGAAGAUUGUUGUCAUUGAGAACCAUCAUCAAUUUGGCGUGGUACAACAUUCCAUUCUGUCACAAGAAGUGUGCUGUAAUUAUAUGGGAAAAAAAACAUUUAAUUGAGGAACUAUAUUUUAGUCAUGUAAUUUAGUCCUCAUUCAAUGAAAUUGAGUUCAAUUUACUUGAGAAA